UUCGGGGGGACAGGGUGACAGGUGGUGCAUGGUUGUCGUCAGCUCGUGUCGUGAGAUGUUGGGUUAAGUCCCGCAACGAGCGCAGCCCUCGCCUCUAGUUGCCAGCAUUCGGUUGGGCACUCUAGAGGGACUGCCGGCGACAAGUCGGAGGAAGGUGGGAUGACGUACAAAUCAUCAUCGCCCCUUAUGACCUGGGCUACACACGUGCUACAAUGGGCGGUAACAAAGGGCUGCCGAACCCGCGAGGGGGAGCGAAUCCCAAAAAGCCGCUCUCAGUUCGGAUUGCAGGCUGCAACUCGCCUGCAUGAAGCCGGAAUCGCUAGUAAUCGCGGAUCAGCAUGCCGCGGUGAAUACGUUCCCGGGCCUU
RNAcentral lists this ribosomal RNA (367 nucleotides) under uncultured Geobacillus sp. Its description in RNAcentral is "bacterial SSU rRNA". It matches the Rfam family "Bacterial small subunit ribosomal RNA", at positions 1017 to 1382 of the family's 1533-position model. Lineage: Bacteria; Bacillati; Bacillota; Bacilli; Caryophanales; Anoxybacillaceae. The record is from RNAcentral.